This 451-nucleotide ribosomal RNA is filed under the name uncultured bacterium. RNAcentral's name for it is "bacterial SSU rRNA". It matches the Rfam family "Bacterial small subunit ribosomal RNA", at positions 340 to 786 of the family's 1533-position model. The record is from RNAcentral.
UACGGAAGGCAGCAGUGGGGAAUAUUGCACAAUGGGCGCAAGCCUGAUGCAGCCAUGCCGCGUGUAUGAAGAAGGCCUUCGGGUUGUAAAGUACUUUCAGUCGUGAGGAAGGUGUUAAGGUUAAUAACCUUAGCAAUUGACGUUAGCGACAGAAGAAGCACCGGCUAACUCCGUGCCAGCAGCCGCGGUAAUACGGAGGGUGCGAGCGUUAAUCGGAAUUACUGGGCGUAAAGGGCACGCAGGCGGUUAAUUAAGUUGGAUGUGAAAUCCCCGGGCUUAACCUGGGAAUGGCAUUCAAGACUGGUUAGCUAGAGUCUUGUAGAGGGGGUAGAAUUCCAUGUGUAGCGGUGAAAUGCGUAGAGAUGUGGAGGAAUACCGGUGGCGAAGGCGGCCCCUGGACAAAGACUGACGCUCAUGUGCGAAGCGUGGGGAGCAAACAGGAUUAGAUACC